Molecule: RNA transcript, 1166 nt
Organism: Manihot esculenta (cassava)
Lineage: Eukaryota; Viridiplantae; Streptophyta; Magnoliopsida; Malpighiales; Euphorbiaceae
Exons: 3
Source: RefSeq, a predicted model, not a curated record
ACUUCUUUUUUUGGGGUAAAAUAGAUUAUCUAAAUCUAGCUUUGAAUAUUAUUUAAAAUUUUGUGAUGAAUUCAGUGAGAAAAUAAUCUGUCAAUUUCGAUCCUGAUAAAUCUGAAAUGAACCUCGGCAACCAUGUCCAAAGGGUAAUGCAAAAAGGAACCCACCAGUUUUGCCAGUCUCAGUCUCAGUUCACCAAAAAUUUGCCUAAUUUAACUUGGAAAUUUAUGAUCGCCAUUCUUUAACAGUUCUCUUGGGUAUUCUCCCUCUCUCAUCCAUCAAAUUGCCAUUUCUGAGCUUUCAUUUCAUCUCUUGGAAAGAUGUCAAGAUAUACAGUAGAGUCCGCCACAGUUGAGACCAAUGAUGGAGUGAAGCUCCGGACAAGGCUCUUCAAGUCCAGAGACGAUGAGGUCAAAGACAAAUUGGUAAUUGUUCUUGUCCAUCAAUAUUCGAUCUUGGGUGGUUGUCAAUCUCUUUUGAAAGGCAUAGCAAUUGGGUUAGCGGAGAAAGGCUACAGGGCUGUGACUUUUGACAUGAGAGGUGCUGGGAGAUCUACUGGGAGGCCUUCUCUCACCGGGUUUUCUGAAAUCAAGGAUGUAGUUGCUGUCUGCAAAUGGGUUUGUGAAAAUCUAUCAAUUGACAGGAUUUUGUUGGUGGGUUCUUCUGCAGGUGCGCCAAUUGCAGGAUCUGCAGUAGAUGAGAUUAAUGAAGUAGUUGGAUAUGUAAGUUUGGGAUACCCUUUUGGCAUAAUGGCCUCAAUCCUUUUUGGGCGUCAUCACGAGGCCAUCUUAAAGUCUCCAAAGCCAAAACUCUUUGUUAUGGGAACCCAGGAUGGGUUUACCAGUGUUAAGCAGUUGCAGAACAAGCUGAGAUCUGCUGCAGGACGCAUUGAAACACAUCUAAUUGAAGGAGCAGGCCACUUCCAAAUGGAGGCCCCUGAUUAUGAUACUCAGAUGGUGAACCUUACCCUUACGUUUAUUGCAUCUUUAUAGGACUACUAGGUAGUCUCUGAGUUGAUAUUUAUCGCUUCUUCUUAGAACUUGAUGUAAUUGAUGUUCAUGUGAGUUAUGCUGAGUGCCAUCACGGUGAAAAUACAUCAACCAUUCCCAGUGAAUGUGGUUUUUAAAACAAAUAUUAUAACACAAUAGAAGAGAGAAUUUUACAGAGAU